CCUGGCUCAGAACGAACGCUGGCGGCGUGCUUAAUACAUGCAAGUCGAACGAGAAAGUCCGGCUUCGGCUGGAUGAGUAAAGUGGCGAACGGGUGAGUAACACGUGGGCAACCUGCCCUUGAGACCGGGAUAAGCCCUCGAAAGGGGGUCUAAUACCGGAUAAUAUCCGGAGAUGGCAUCUUCACCGGAUCAAAUGUUUUUCGCUCAAGGAUGGGCCCGCGCUCCAUUAGCUUGUUGGUAGGGUAAAAGCCUACCAAGGCUACGAUGGAUAGCCGGCCUGAGAGGGUGAUCGGCCACACUGGGACUGAGAUACGGCCCAGACUCCUACGGGAGGCAGCAGUAGGGAAUAUUGCGCAAUGGGCGAAAGCCUGACGCAGCAACGCCGCGUGGAUGAUGAAGCUCCUUGGAGUGUAAAAUCCUGUCAGCGGGGAAGAACCGGCCUUUAUGGCCCUGACGGUACCCGCAGAGGAAGUUCCGGCUAACUCCGUGCCAGCAGCCGCGGUAAUACGGGGGGAACGAGCGUUGUUCGGAUUCACUGGGCGUAAAGGGCGUGUAGGCGGGUCUUCAAGUCGGAUGUGAAAACCGGUGGCUUAACUGCCGGCCUGCAUUCGAUACUGUAGACCUUGAGUACGAGAGAGGAAAGUGGAAUUCCAGGUGUAGCGGUGACAUGCGUAGAUAUCUGGAAGAACACCGGUGGCGAAGGCGGCUUUCUGGCUCGAUACUGACGCUAAGGCGCGAAAGCUAGGGGAGCAAACAGGAUUAGAUACCCUGGUAGUCCUAGCCGUAAACGUUGGGCACUAGGUGUUGGAGGUGUCGACCCCUUCAGUGCCGCAGCUAACGCAUUAAGUGCCCCGCCUGGGGAGUACGGUCGCAAGGCUGAAACUCAAAAGAAUUGACGGGGGCCCGCACAAGCGGUGCAGUAUGUGGUUCAAUUCGACGCAACGCGAAGAACCUUACCUGCCGUUGACUUCCACUGGACAGCCUCUGAACGGACGUCUCCCUUCGGGGCCAGUGGACAGGUGC
This 1023-nucleotide ribosomal RNA is filed under the name uncultured organism. Its description in RNAcentral is "bacterial SSU rRNA". It matches the Rfam family "Bacterial small subunit ribosomal RNA", at positions 18 to 1041 of the family's 1533-position model. The record is from RNAcentral.